GACGAACGCUGGCGGCGUGCCUAAUACAUGCAAGUCGAACGCUUCUUUCCUCCCGAGUGCUUGCACUCAAUUGGAAAGAGGAGUGGCGGACGGGUGAGUAACACGUGGGUAACCUACCCAUCAGAGGGGGAUAACACUUGGAAACAGGUGCUAAUACCGCAUAACAGUUUAUGCCGCAUGGCAUAAGAGUGAAAGGCGCUUUCGGGUGUCGCUGAUGGAUGGACCCGCGGUGCCUUAGCUAGUUGGUGAGGUAACGGCUCACCAAGGCCACGAUGCAUAGCCGACCUGAGAGGGUGAUCGGCCACACUGGGACUGAGACACGGCCCAGACUCCUACGGGAGGCAGCAGUAGGGAAUCUUCGGCAAUGGACGAAAGUCUGACCGAGCAACGCCGCGUGAGUGAAGAAGGUUUUCGGAUCGUAAAACUCUGUUGUUAGAGAAGAACAAGGACGUUAGUAACUGAACGUCCCCUGACGGUAUCUAACCAGAAAGACACGGCUAACUACGUG
This 508-nucleotide ribosomal RNA is filed under the name uncultured bacterium. RNAcentral's name for it is "partial 16S ribosomal RNA". It matches the Rfam family "Bacterial small subunit ribosomal RNA", at positions 28 to 507 of the family's 1533-position model. The record is from RNAcentral.